This 915-nucleotide ribosomal RNA is filed under the name Escherichia coli. RNAcentral's name for it is "partial 23S ribosomal RNA". It matches the Rfam family "Bacterial large subunit ribosomal RNA", at positions 830 to 1744 of the family's 2925-position model. Lineage: Bacteria; Pseudomonadati; Pseudomonadota; Gammaproteobacteria; Enterobacterales; Enterobacteriaceae. The record is from RNAcentral.
CAAUCAAACCGGGAGAUAGCUGGUUCUCCCCGAAAGCUAUUUAGGUAGCGCCUCGUGAAUUCAUCUCCGGGGGUAGAGCACUGUUUCGGCAAGGGGGUCAUCCCGACUUACCAACCCGAUGCAAACUGCGAAUACCGGAGAAUGUUAUCACGGGAGACACACGGCGGGUGCUAACGUCCGUCGUGAAGAGGGAAACAACCCAGACCGCCAGCUAAGGUCCCAAAGUCAUGGUUAAGUGGGAAACGAUGUGGGAAGGCCCAGACAGCCAGGAUGUUGGCUUAGAAGCAGCCAUCAUUUAAAGAAAGCGUAAUAGCUCACUGGUCGAGUCGGCCUGCGCGGAAGAUGUAACGGGGCUAAACCAUGCACCGAAGCUGCGGCAGCGACGCUUAUGCGUUGUUGGGUAGGGGAGCGUUCUGUAAGCCUGCGAAGGUGUGCUGUGAGGCAUGCUGGAGGUAUCAGAAGUGCGAAUGCUGACAUAAGUAACGAUAAAGCGGGUGAAAAGCCCGCUCGCCGGAAGACCAAGGGUUCCUGUCCAACGUUAAUCGGGGCAGGGUGAGUCGACCCCUAAGGCGAGGCCGAAAGGCGUAGUCGAUGGGAAACAGGUUAAUAUUCCUGUACUUGGUGUUACUGCGAAGGGGGGACGGAGAAGGCUAUGUUGGCCGGGCGACGGUUGUCCCGGUUUAAGCGUGUAGGCUGGUUUUCCAGGCAAAUCCGGAAAAUCAAGGCUGAGGCGUGAUGACGAGGCACUACGGUGCUGAAGCAACAAAUGCCCUGCUUCCAGGAAAAGCCUCUAAGCAUCAGGUAACAUCAAAUCGUACCCCAAACCGACACAGGUGGUCAGGUAGAGAAUACCAAGGCGCUUGAGAGAACUCGGGUGAAGGAACUAGGCAAAAUGGUGCCGUAACUUCGGGAGAA